UAGAGUUUGAUCCUGGCUCAGGAUGAACGCUAGCUACAGGCUUAACACAUGCAAGUCGAGGGGAAACGGCAUUGAGUGCUUGCACUCUUUGGACGUCGACCGGCGCACGGGUGAGUAACGCGUAUCCAACCUUCCCAUUACUGUGGGAUAACCUGCCGAAAGGCAGACUAAUACCGCAUAGUCUUCGAUGACGGCAUCAGAUUUGAAGUAAAGAUUUAUCGGUAAUGGAUGGGGAUGCGUCUGAUUAGCUUGUUGGCGGGGUAACGGCCCACCAAGGCGACGAUCAGUAGGGGUUCUGAGAGGAAGGUCCCCCACAUUGGAACUGAGACACGGUCCAAACUCCUACGGGAGGCAGCAGUGAGGAAUAUUGGUCAAUGGACGGAAGUCUGAACCAGCCAAGUAGCGUGCAGGAUGACGGCCCUAUGGGUUGUAAACUGCUUUUGUAUGGGGAUAAAGUUAGGGACGUGUCCCUAUUUGCAGGUACCAUACGAAUAAGGACCGGCUAAUUCCGUGCCAGCAGCCGCGGUAAUACGGAAGGUCCAGGCGUUAUCCGGAUUUAUUGGGUUUAAAGGGAGCGUAGGCUGGAGAUUAAGUGUGUUGUGAAAUGUAGACGCUCAACGUCUGACUUGCAGCGCAUACUGGUUUCCUUGAGUACGCACAACGUUGGCGGAAUUCGUCGUGUAGCGGUGAAAUGCUUAGAUAUGACGAAGAACUCCGAUUGCGAAGGCAGCUGACGGGAGCGCAACUGACGCUUAAGCUCGAAGGUGCGGGUAUCAAACAGGAUUAGAUACCCUGGUAGUCCGCACAGUAAAC
RNAcentral lists this ribosomal RNA (813 nucleotides) under uncultured bacterium. RNAcentral's name for it is "bacterial SSU rRNA". It matches the Rfam family "Bacterial small subunit ribosomal RNA", at positions 1 to 807 of the family's 1533-position model. The record is from RNAcentral.